CUACACACUAAAAAUACACGAUAGGUAUUGUUUUGUGUAGGUUAUGGGUUCAUAUUUUCACUCAUUCUCUAUCAUAGAAUUAGAACUUUAUUUCCGGAAUGGCUUUCUCCUCUGGACUAUUGCUUCAGUCUCUAACUGUAUCCCUAAGAAUCUUACCAUUCUUUAAAUGGCACACCUAACUAACUUUGCAGCUACUGGACUGAUCUGGCUAAUCUCAUUAUACCACAAUCAGUGCAUAAAAACACACAUUGACCCUCAACAAUUGUCCCUCCUGUUGAGACUUCAUCUUCCCAGUUCUCUAUCUCAAAUGUGAAAUUCAACCACACUGAAAUUCAACCACAAAACUUUAAAAGUUUUGCUCUCACUGUUUGUUUGCCAUGCCACCCUUGAACUUCUUAUAUUUGUAACAUCUUCAGUCAUUUUUGAACACUUACCUAAGAGAAAUCUUUCUUGACCUCUUAUGGUUUUCUAUUCAGCUCCCCAUAUUUCCAACUCACAUUGCACUAUAACCACUUACUGGGCUAUUCACCAGACUACAAGAAUUUUGUAAGCAGUAAGUUUGGGUGAUCCAUAUAGAAAGCCUAGCCCUGAAAACAAUGUUUGCC
Molecule: long non-coding RNA, 605 nt
Filed under: Marmota monax (woodchuck)
Lineage: Eukaryota; Metazoa; Chordata; Mammalia; Rodentia; Sciuridae
Source: RNAcentral